UUGCUAAGGCCGAUGGCGACCGGCGCACGGGUGAGUAACACGUAUCCAACCUGCCGUCUACUCUUGGACAGCCUUCUGAAAGGAAGAUUAAUACAAGAUGGCAUCAUGAGUCCGCAUGUUCACAUGACUAAAGGUAUUCCGGUAGACGAUGGGGAUGCGUUCCAUUAGAUAGUAGGCGGGGUAACGGCCCACCUAGUCUUCGAUGGAUAGGGGUUCUGAGAGGAAGGUCCCCCACAUUGGAACUGAGACACGGUCCAAACUCCUACGGGAGGCAGCAGUGAGGAAUAUUGGUCAAUGGGCGAGAGCCUGAACCAGCCAAGUAGCGUGAAGGAUGACUGCCCUAUGGGUUGUAAACUUCUUUUAUAAAGGAAUAAAGUCGGGUAUGGAUACCCGUUUGCAUGUACUUUAUGAAUAAGGAUCGGCUAACUCCGUGCCAGCAGCCGCGGUAAUACGGAGGAUCCGAGCGUUAUCCGGAUUUAUUGGGUUUAAAGGGAGCGUAGAUGGAUGGUUAAGUCAGUUGUGAAAGUUUGCGGCUCAACCGUAAAAUUGCAGUUGAUACUGGAUAUCUUGAGUGCAGUUGAGGCAGGCGGAAUUCGUGGUGUAGCGGUGAAAUGCUUAGAUAUCACGAAGAACUCCGAUUGCGAAGGCAGC
Molecule: ribosomal RNA, 651 nt
Filed under: uncultured Bacteroidales bacterium
Lineage: Bacteria; Pseudomonadati; Bacteroidota; Bacteroidia; Bacteroidales
Description: bacterial SSU rRNA
Rfam family: Bacterial small subunit ribosomal RNA
Source: RNAcentral